AUUAAUAUAUUUUAUUUUCUUUUCACUAGACAUUGAGACAAAACAGCAAAUUUAAAGAACUAUUGCACAAGUUGUAAAUACAGCGUUCACCAAGAUGAAAACAAAAAGAGGGAGGACAGAAAUGGGAAAGUAAUGGCAUUAGGUAGCCUAAAGGAGGAAGAACCCAAACAACAAAGAAGAUGGCUAGUGAGUUCUUCAGCCCGGUGCUGGGAAGUUGAGGACAACAGAGACCCUGCACCUGCACCUCUGCCUAAGGAAAACCAGUAGAAGAGGCGUUUUUAGAGCCAGCAGCAGAAACACAAACCAGCUGGGCUGCCCUUCCCAAGGGUGAGUGCUCCGAGGAGUAGAGCUGGUUGAGCUUCUGAAGGUG
RNAcentral lists this long non-coding RNA (370 nucleotides) under Manacus vitellinus (golden-collared manakin). RNAcentral's name for it is "lncRNA (ENSMVIG00005002216.1)". The record is from RNAcentral. Lineage: Eukaryota; Metazoa; Chordata; Aves; Passeriformes; Pipridae.